AUUUACUAGACCUAAACCUCCUGGAGAAAGCACAGGAGGACAAACAUCAAUCACUAAGAUUGAGAGUAUUUAAAAAGGAAGUUUAAUUAUUCUAGCUUCUUACAAUUCCUAACCUAACAAAUAUUCAGAAUUUACAAAUAUUCUCUCUGAAUGCUGGAAAAUCUCAGCAAACAGGAUACUUAACAAAAUGUCCUUAACAAAAUGGGAGGGGAAAAGGGGAAUGGAGAAGGCAUGUAAUUUUAAUCUGUUUACCUCAAAGAAACAGGUUAGCAAAUGAAAGCUAUCCUGAAUAAAUAGACCAGCUAUUUAUAUGUACUUGUACAAUUAUAUUUACUUCAUUUUUGAUUCUGAUCUAAGCCUUAGAAAACAAAGACUUAAA
RNAcentral lists this long non-coding RNA (379 nucleotides) under Mytilus galloprovincialis (Mediterranean mussel). The record is from RNAcentral. Lineage: Eukaryota; Metazoa; Mollusca; Bivalvia; Mytilida; Mytilidae.